Molecule: long non-coding RNA, 2097 nt
Filed under: Marmota monax (woodchuck)
Lineage: Eukaryota; Metazoa; Chordata; Mammalia; Rodentia; Sciuridae
Source: RNAcentral
CAGGACCUUGCAUAAGCUUGGCAAGUUCUCUACUACUGAGCCAUACUUUCAGCCCCAGUGACUAUGACAUAAAAAAUGAAGCUGAGGAAUUAAAAGAAAAAUAGUAAUUGAGGACUUAUAGUUGGAGAGAAAUGCUCAAGGAACAAAUCCCAAAUUAUUAUGGGAGUCAAGAUAAAUUUACUUAAACAAGAGAAUUUUUCCCCCAUUCAUUUUCUUACUUUACUAUCAGCCAAAUAUUUCUUCAGGAAAAUGAAAUCAAUAUAUAGAGUUGAUUAUGGCCAUGGACCUACGAUAGCAUAAAGCAAUGCCUUUCUCUUAUUUUUAUUUCUGCUAUCUCUUUCUUGGUGGGUAAAACAGAUCAACUAGAAACUUCUUUGUUCUCUUCAGGACAUCUUUUAAAAAGAUAUUACUUAAGAGUUUCAGAGAUUAGUUCUUGGUACCUGAGAAUUAUAAUCAAGAAACAGGUCCUUUUUCCCUUAAGUACAUCAUUGGUUCACAUUCAGGAUAAAUAAUAUAUAUGUUCAAACCAAUCAAUAUGGGUACAUAAAUGAAUGAGUCACCACUACUUAUUGUGUACUUAUGAUAUGUUAAAUAAUAUAUUGUUGAGCAAAAACAUAAAGUUUAUCUUAGGAAAUUCAAAUAUAUUUUAAUAAAAAUAAAUUUUAUUUUGUUUUAUAUGGAUAUAAAAAAUUACAGUAGAAUAGUAUAAAUUAAUGGGUGUUGGAGUGUUGGAUAUCUAGAGUCUUGUCCCAGCUUUGCCACUUCCUAGCUAUGUGACAUUGGGCAAUUUAUUUGACCUACUUAAGUGGUCUUCAUUAUGUUGUCAGAGAUUAUUUCCUCCUGUCAUUUGAAAAGUGUAAUGGAAAGAACACUGGACUAGGAGCAGAUCAUGGUUUGUGGUUUCUGCUCCUGGCUCCAGGAUCUACCUGCUCUGGUCUCAGUUUCUUAUUCAAUAAAAUAGAGAGAUUGGAUCAGGUAAUUUCUAAAGCUUCUUCCAUAUUUUGGGACACAAUUAGCUUUGUCUUCACCCAGAAUUUUAUAUUCAUGAAGGAAAAUGAGUUUUCUUAGUACUCCCCUUUCAUAGUCCUUUAUUUAUCUACUUAUUUAUUUUCCAAUGUGCAACCCCUUUCAGUGCCAGCAGCCUUAGACUCAGAGGCCAGACAAUGGUUCGGGGCCAGUUUGCUCUGGCAUGGGACACUAUGAGACUGACGGGAAAGGCCUGCCAUAAAUUCAAACCUAUGCAUCCCAGUCCUUUAUAUUAAAAGAUCUGUUUGAAUCUAAGAGCAAACUAUGCUGAAAAUUUUAAGGUUUGAAAAUCAUUUAUGUACCAGAAAAGACCUUUGCUUGGAUUUCAAACAAUGGUAGGAGUGGUUUUAGGAAACAUAGUCCACAGUACAACUUAUUUCCCAGGGGUUUGGAAAGAAAGACCUCUCCUAAAACUUGCAUUUUUGAGAAAGGUGGAGCUGAGCUCUCAUCUGUAGAAAACAUCUGUCAGAAUCUAUGAUUCAUUGCCAAAAGCCUUCCUUUGGAAUCUUUUCUUAAUAACAACACUCUAUAACAAAAAGAUGCUUCAUGUUUCAGUGAUGCCUGUAUUUAGACCACCUUCCUAAUCCAUUUAUAAACAUGUCUAAGAAACAGGCUAUGUCUAGACUACCAGAGAGAAAGGCACCCAAAUCAAAAGAAACAGUGACAGAGCAUUGUGGAGCCAGCCAGUGCCAUAUUAGUAUAUCCAUAGGUUAUUUUCCUAAAGAAUGCAAAAAAUACAUAAAACCUUAUGGUAGUUGAUUUCACUUAAAUCAUUCUGUGUUAGUUUGGACAUAUUUAAGACAUCUUUAUCAGCUACAAUUGUGCUAAGAGGCCCAAGAAAUGUAGGCUAUUCAGGCCUUACCAACAUAAAAUAUAAAAAUCAGAACAAAAGAAUCUGUUAAAAUAUUUUGCCCAUUUUAAAAUUAUCUCUUUAUUGAGUUAGAAACUUUUAUGUAUCCUAGAUACAACUUAUUUCUCAGAUGCAUGUCCUACAAAUAUUUUGUUUGUUUGUUUUAUAACACUCUCUUUAGAAAAGUAAACAUUUUAAAUUUCUCUGAUGGCUAAUUUCCU